AUGUAACAGUGUAUAGAGGCACCUAAGAAAAUACUAUAGAUUUUGAGCACUAAGAAAGGUAAAAAGGUGUAAGUUAAUACCAAUAACAAAGACACUUAUAACUUCAAAGCCAACAGAAGAAAACAAUGCAACACAAGAAUUCUGUGCAUAUGAAGAGCUGAGAAUCAUUUGCAAAAGGGGUAAGGAUUAAGUGUGCAAAAUUGUCCUCUGAAAUUAAAGGGAAAUAAAUCGAACUUACAGGUACAGUAAAUUUGUUUAUUUUAAUGAUAAAAGAAAUUUAUUAGAGGAAUAAUAAUGGAAUUUUCUAUAAGACCAAGUAGGCAAACAAAUAUUCAACAUAUUGCCAAUUAACAUUACACGACAGAGGGUGUACAUGUAGAUCAUCUGAUUAGAAAUCUUAUAUUUUAGUAUGUAAACACAUUAAAUGCAUGACAGAUACAACCAACCAAUAAUAUGGUAACAGAUUGGCCAAGAAUAUCUUACAAGCAAAGCACCAAAGAAGCAAGCUUUCAAAAUUUGCAGCUAGGCCCAAAUGAAAUCACAUGCAGUUCUAUAGAAUGUGAACUCCAAUGUGAUUGAAAUGCACAAUAAAUGAAACAAAAAAGGUUGAAUAAAGUUGGGUGGCUUUCAAAACACAAGAUUGUAAAACUAAGUAUUUAAUCUUCUUUCUACACAUUCCUUAGACUAUUCCAAAAUGAAGCUAGCCACUCCAACUCCAAACCACCAACCAACUCCUAAGGAUGAUGACCCAAAUCUUGUACUCAAACAGUGUAGUUCUUUGUUCCCCAAUCUAAUUUAUGAAAAGUACUACCAUAAGUAAAACCAUUUGAGAUUUUACACAAGAUUCUAAAUAUAAAUAAAGUCAUAACAACAAGUACAAAAACUUAAUGAUCUCCAAUUAAGAACUUUUUAUGUAAUCUGAGGCCUUUAGGAGGAGAUAAACUCCAAGUAUGAUUUCGCAGUAUUGUUAUAAUUAUCAACAGCAGUGCAAUCAUAGUCCAUGUAAUGAAACAUAAAAGAAUUCAAAAUAAACCAAAAAAAACCAACUGGACAAGACUGUCUUGGUAGCAAAUAUCCCGAAAAAUAGCUCUAGAUAUAAUUAUACAGGUCAUACAUAUGAUCAUUUAUAUUAGUAUGCAUAUGAAAGCAAAAGGUUCCUUGCAUUACUAACUACCCAAAAAAAAAGGCUAAUUUUUUAGAGCCUAAGCGCCAAUUUCAAUUUACAAAACAAACCUUUUUUGAUGAUAUUGAAGAA
RNAcentral lists this unclassified non-coding RNA (1255 nucleotides) under Hevea brasiliensis (rubber tree). The record is from RNAcentral. Lineage: Eukaryota; Viridiplantae; Streptophyta; Magnoliopsida; Malpighiales; Euphorbiaceae.